GACGAACGCUGGCGGUGUGCUUAACACAUGCAAGUCGAACGGUAAGGCCCUUUCGGGGGUCCCCGAGUGGCGAACGGGUGAGUAACACGUGAGUAACCUGCCCUCAUCUCUGGGAUAACAGUCGGAAACGGUUGCUAAUACUGGAUAUGAGCUUGCAAGGCAUCUUGUGGGUUGGAAAGAUUUUUUUUGGUUGGGGAUGGACUCGCGGCCUAUCAGCUUGUUGGUGAGGUAGUGGCUCACCAAGGCUUCGACGGGUAGCCGGCCUGAGAGGGCGACCGGCCACAUUGGGACUGAGAUACGGCCCAAACUCCUACGGGAGGCAGCAGUGGGAAUAUUGCACAAUGGACGGAAGUCUGAUGCAGCAACGCCGCGUGCGGGAUGACGGCCUUCGGGUUGUAAACCGCUUUCAAUUGUGACGAAGCUUUUUUGUGACGGUAGCAGUAGAAGAAGCACCGGCUAACUACGUG
Molecule: ribosomal RNA, 467 nt
Filed under: uncultured bacterium
Lineage: Bacteria
Description: partial 16S ribosomal RNA
Rfam family: Bacterial small subunit ribosomal RNA
Source: RNAcentral